RNAcentral lists this ribosomal RNA (253 nucleotides) under uncultured bacterium. RNAcentral describes it as "partial 16S ribosomal RNA". It matches the Rfam family "Bacterial small subunit ribosomal RNA", at positions 524 to 776 of the family's 1533-position model. The record is from RNAcentral.
CACGUAGGGCGCGAGCGUUGUCCGGAACUAUUGGGCGUAAAGAGCUCGUAGGCGGCCUGUUGCGUCCGCUGUGAAAGCCCGGGGCUUAACCCCGGGUCGGCAGUGGAUACGGGCAGGCUAGAGGUAGGUAGGGGAGAAUGGAAUUCCCGGUGUAGCGGUGAAAUGCGCAGAUAUCGGGAGGAACACCGGUGGCGAAGGCGGUUCUCUGGGCCUUACCUGACGCUGAGGAGCGAAAGCGUGGGGAGCGAACAGG